CUCAAACACCCCAUGUUAUCCAGAGGAGGGAUCCAGCGCCAAAGUGCCUGGCUCUUAGCCCCGUGAUCUCGUGGCCACAGCUCCGUCCCAGCAGCAGCUAUUUCACAAGGAUGAAAUCCAAAGCUGCAGUCAUCUGAAGGUUUCACUGGAGCUUGAGCGUCAGCUUCGAGGGUGCCUCAUUCCCACACUUGUCAGUUUGUGGGUCAUGAACGCAGAAGUGACUUAGCUGGGAGUCCUGGCUUAGAGUCUCUUGUGAGGCUGCCCCCAGGAUGAAAUCCAGACCUGCAGUCAUCUGAAGGCUUCACGGGGCUCGAAGGUCCACUUCCAGGGUGCCUCAUUCCCACGCUUGUCAGACCAGCCCUGGUUCAAUGCGGAGGAGACCACACAGGAUGGCGGUAUCAGGAGGCACCAGGGCCAUCAUGGAGACCAGCUGCCCCAGCAACCGGCCCAGAGCGAGAAGACAGCCCCACUCCCAGGCCUGCCUGUCUGACUUGGGUUGCCAGCAUGGGUCCCCAGCAGGAAGUCUUCCCAGGGCCCAUCAUGUUGCUGAGGCUUGUGUCUUCUCUGGGAAGCUGCCUGGUGCCUGUGGGUUGGUGGGAGGAACAAAGAAGAGACCACAGGCCAGUAGCCCUCAAGACAAGGAGACUGAGCUCCUGAACCAACCCAUUUCUCAUGCUGCAGUAGAGCAGAAACACAGUUCACAGCUCACAGACUGUUCUUUGGACUCCUGUUGACAUCUCGCAGGACACAGCAUGUGGGACCACUCAGGGAGCAGACACUACACCCUGAAGUCUCUUUAUUCCUCUGACCCAGUGGUUCUCAACUGGAAACAGUUUUACUCCCCAGGGGUUAUUUAGCAAUGUCUGGAGACAUUUUUGUUUGUCACAACUGGGGAUGGGGGAGAUGUCUGUUGGCAUUUAGUGAGUAGGGGCCAGGGUGCCAUGAAAUAUCCUGCAAUGCACAAGGCAACCUCCACAACAAAGAAUGAUCUGGCCCAAGAUGAGCUGAGGUGGAGAAACCCUGUGCUAACCGUUUCCAAAAUAAGCGGGGGCCAGGGGUGGGAGAAAGGCUGCAGGGAGGGUAAGAAGUGAUGUCCCAGGGGUCGUCUAAACGCCACCAAAGCUGCCAUGAGGCUCAGCUGCCCACCUCGUGGAGCGGGAAGUUUCUGUGACCAGAGCCCCCAAACACAGCUUUCUUGGAGUGAACAGGACCUCAGAAAUGAGGAGAAUGACCCUGUGCUGUCUUCAAGCAGAGAAUUUCCUGCCCUGGCCUGAUGAAGCCAGAGAGAGGCCACCCACAUUCUGCCAGGAGGUGAAGCCAGCUCUAGGGAGGAGUUAUUGGGGUGGCUGACCUUGACCAAAGGCCCCCCAAAUCCACAAUGCAGGGGCCCAUCUCCCCUCAGGACCCCAAAAUGUGAUGCUCUAAAGAGCCAAAAUACUCAAACCCAUGAGUCUUUUAUCUGGAGAAAAUCUGCCUUCCUGUCCAUCCACCUGCAGGACGCAUGCACACAGGUGCACACACAGACCCACACACUGCCUCCCAGACCAGCCAGCCACUCCCUGCACUGCUUUUACUAAGGGAACAGACAUUCAAAGGUAUUACACUCCUGCCAACAUUCUGAGCCACGAAGUUUGUCCGAUGGGAAAAUGGAUCCCGGAAGCAAGUUUUGGUGGACCAAUCCCCUCUCCCUAAGAUGAGGGCUCUGUCUGGGAAAAGCACCAUCUUCUGGCCAAGGCAGGCAGAGGGCAGCAAAGGAAAUGUCCAGGGCUCUUAUUCAUUCAUUUGUUCUUUCGUUCAAGAAAUACCAAAAUAGAACUACUGUAAGAUCCAACAAUUCCACUACUGGGUAGACAUCCAAAAGAAAGGAAAUCAGUAUACUGAAGCUAUAGCUGCAUUCCUGCAUUAAUUGUAGUGCAUUCACAAUAGCCAAAAUAUGGAAUCAACCUAACUGUCCAUCAAUGGAUGGAUGGAUGGAUGGAUGGAUGGAUGGAUGGAUGAAUGGAUGGAUGAAUAAAAUGUAAUUAUAUAUAUACACACACACACACUAUGGGAUAUUAUUCAGCCAUAAAAAUAAUGAAAUCCUGUCAUUUGCUGCAAUGUGAAUGGAAAUGGAGGUCAUUACGGUAAGUGAAAUAGGCCAAGCACAGACAGACAAAUACUGCAUGUUCUCACUCAUAUGUGGGAGCUACAGAGUGGAUCUCAUGAACGUAGAGAGUAGACUGGUGGUUAUCAGAGGCCAAGAAAUAUAGCAGGGGAGGGGAAUGAAGAGAUACUGAUUAAUGGGUACAAAUAUACAGCUGGAAGGAAUAAGACCUGGCGUUCAGUAGAUCAGCAGGAUGACUAUGGCUAGAAUUAAUUGAUUGUACAUUUCAAAAUAACUAGAAGAGAAUAGUUCAAACGUUCCUGGCCUAAAGAUGAAUAUUUAUGGUAGUGGAUAUCCCAAUUACCCUAAUUUGAUGAUACAAAGGUAUCAAAUUU
Molecule: long non-coding RNA, 2478 nt
Filed under: Homo sapiens (human)
Lineage: Eukaryota; Metazoa; Chordata; Mammalia; Primates; Hominidae
Description: HSALNT0232447
Source: RNAcentral